UUCGUGUAAUAAUUUAGCAUAUUAUUAUUUAAAUUUUCAGUUAGAUAUUUAUAGUCAAAUUUCUCCAAAGCAUCAUAUUUUAUCUUUUUCUUAAUCUAUUAUCUUUCUUAAUCUAUUAUGGCAUUCCUGUGAUAAUACAAUGCAUAGACUUUAGUAAGCUUAAUUGAAAAGAAACUUAUUUUCCUUGGAAAACACUAACAUGAGCCAAGUCCCAUUAAUAUAAAAACAUCCAUAAAUCUAUCUUUUUAUUAUACAAAGAAUGAACAUAUAGCCUUAAGUGCAUAUGAGCUAUUUCGUUAUUAUUAUCAUAUCCCUUACCAUUCUAUAGUGCAACCCCGAGAAAAUGCAAUAAUAAGAGUUUAAACUAUACAAUCAAAUGACGAAACACAAUUUGUCAAAAGCAAAUAGAGUAAACUGCCUAUUUUUGAUAAUCUUGUUAAUUUAAACAUAGGCUUACAUAAAAACCUAUUUAAAACAAGUCACUUUUGAAGUCCGAAACAACU
RNAcentral lists this long non-coding RNA (503 nucleotides) under Helianthus annuus (common sunflower). RNAcentral describes it as "sRNA HanXRQr2_Chr17g0791481". Lineage: Eukaryota; Viridiplantae; Streptophyta; Magnoliopsida; Asterales; Asteraceae. The record is from RNAcentral.